This 253-nucleotide ribosomal RNA is filed under the name uncultured bacterium. Its description in RNAcentral is "partial 16S ribosomal RNA". It matches the Rfam family "Bacterial small subunit ribosomal RNA", at positions 524 to 776 of the family's 1533-position model. The record is from RNAcentral.
UACGAACCGAGCGAACGUUGUUCGGAAUCACUGGGCUUAAAGGGCGCGUAGGCGGGUGCUCAAGUCCGGGGUGAAAUCCUCCAGCUCAACUGGAGAACUGCCUCGGAUACUGGGUGCCUCGAGGGUGGUAGGGGUAUGCGGAACUAUCGGUGGAGCGGUGAAAUGCGUUGAUAUCGAUAGGAACUCCGGUGGCGAAGGCGGCAUACUGGACCACUUCUGACGCUGAGGCGCGAAAGCCAGGGGAGCAAACGGG